Molecule: small RNA, 215 nt
Filed under: Chromobacterium sp. C-61
Lineage: Bacteria; Pseudomonadati; Pseudomonadota; Betaproteobacteria; Neisseriales; Chromobacteriaceae
Description: Proteobacterial sRNA psRNA2
Rfam family: Proteobacterial sRNA psRNA2
Source: Rfam by way of RNAcentral
GGGUUACUCCUGCUCUUUCACGCUGUCUUGAUGAAGAUUCGCACCUCUAUCAAAACGGGUAACCCCGCCUCUCUGCAAGGCCUGACUGUCAGAUCAAAUCGGAACUUCUACACUUCAGAACUCGGCACUUUACCUUCCAAUAGGAGCCACUCCAUGCUUUUUCCAACAUUCAAAUCUUGCGUUUGUUGCUACGCUCAUCGCAACGAUAACCGCCU